UGGGGAAUAUUGCGCAAUGGGGGAAACCCUGACGCAGCAACGCCGCGUGAAUGAUGAAGGCCUUCGGGUUGUAAAGUUCUGUCUUCUGGGACGAUAAUGACGGUACCAGAGGAGGAAGCCACGGCUAACUACGUGCCAGCAGCCGCGGUAAUACGUAGGUGGCAAGCGUUGUCCGGAUUUACUGGGCGUAAAGGAUGCGUAGGCGGACAUUUAAGUCAGAUGUGAAAUACCCG
RNAcentral lists this ribosomal RNA (233 nucleotides) under uncultured Clostridium sp. RNAcentral's name for it is "partial 16S ribosomal RNA". It matches the Rfam family "Bacterial small subunit ribosomal RNA", at positions 355 to 605 of the family's 1533-position model. Lineage: Bacteria; Bacillati; Bacillota; Clostridia; Eubacteriales; Clostridiaceae. The record is from RNAcentral.